UAACAUAAAGGCAGGCU
RNAcentral lists this unclassified non-coding RNA (17 nucleotides) under Mus musculus (house mouse). Its description in RNAcentral is "oocyte_clustered_small_RNA12214". The record is from RNAcentral. Lineage: Eukaryota; Metazoa; Chordata; Mammalia; Rodentia; Muridae.